GAUGAACGCUAGCGGCAGGCCUAACACAUGCAAAUCGAGGGGUAGAGUUAGCUUGCUAACUUGAGACCGGCGCACGGGUGCGUAACGCGUAUGCAAUCUACCUUGUACAGAGGGAUAGCCCAGAGAAAUUUGGAUUAAUACCUCAUAGUAUCUUUACCUGGCAUCGGGUAAUUAUUAAAGUUCCAACGGUACAAGAUGAGCACGCGUCCCAUUAGUUAGUUGGUAAGGUAACGGCUUACCAAGACAAUGAUGGGUAGGGGUCCUGAGAGGGAGAUCCCCCACACUGGUACUGAGACACGGACCAGACUCCUACGGGAGGCAGCAGUGAGGAAUAUUGGUCAAUGGACGCAAGUCUGAACCAGCCAUGCCGCGUGCAGGAAGACGGUCCUAUGGAUUGUAAACUGCUUUUAUACAGGAAGAAACAACUCUACGUGUAGAGUCUUGACGGUACUGUAGGAAUAAGGAUCGGCUAACUCCGUGCCAGCAGCCGCGGU
Molecule: ribosomal RNA, 494 nt
Filed under: uncultured bacterium
Lineage: Bacteria
Description: bacterial SSU rRNA
Rfam family: Bacterial small subunit ribosomal RNA
Source: RNAcentral